This is a long non-coding RNA of Magnolia sinica, 1596 nucleotides long. RefSeq lists it as uncharacterized. NCBI's taxonomy places the organism in Eukaryota, Viridiplantae, Streptophyta, Magnoliopsida, Magnoliales, Magnoliaceae. The record is from RefSeq and is a predicted model, not a curated record. The transcript has 2 exons.
UGUUAACUGUCAUAUCGUAUGCUGCUUCAUUAUGCUGGUCAUGCAGCAAAAUAAACCCAGUGAAGUCUUGUAAAUUUCCAUCUGAAUCAAGUUUGGCUGAAAUAUGUCCUGAAAAGUGUGCAUGUAGGCUUUCUUAGAUCCUCAAGAGUUGGCUGAAAAGUUGUCUUGGUAUUUUGAAUGAGAAAUUCGUCAGAGAGCUAUAGUGCUGCUUGAAACUUUACUGUAAACUCGAUAGCUUGAUACUUGUAUGAAUCACAUUACGUCAAGCUUAAAUGAAAUCUUUUGUGCAGGAUGAUAGUGUUAAAUGGAGAGCAUUGCAAGUUAUUUCAAGUUCACUUAGUAUUCACUUAUUAUUGCAACGGACCCUUUAGCAGGGGAAACUACUCUUAUACAACUGAUUUUCGGGGGUUACCUUCGAUCUAAGAUAAGGUGCAUGAAGUGCCAAGGCAAGUCUGAGAAGCAUGAACGGAUGAUGGAUCUAACUGUUGAGAUACAUGGGGAUAUUGGAACUCUUGAAGAAGCACUUGCACAAUUUACGGCUACUGAAAUCUUGGAUGGAGACAAUAAAUACCACUGUAGCAGGUUGUUUGGUGCUUGUCUGUUUUGAGUUAAAGAUGUAUAUUGCAGUCAAUAGGUGCCAGGAAUGACAUAAUGCCAAUCAUCAUUGUCUAAACCUUAUCCCAACUAAUUGGGUUUGGCUACAUGAAUCCUGUUCUGCCAUUCACUCGAUCAAGGACCAUAUCGUUAGUUAAACUGUAGGUCAGCAAGUCUUUUCUCUCACACGCUCCACUCACAUCCUUCUGGGCCUUCCUAUUGCCUUUUUAGAGCCUUGAACCAACUCUCUCCUAACAGGUGCAGGAGAAUCUUCACAAUGAGACGAUCGAAUGUGACUCAGCUAGUAGUAGUCCCAAUAGAUAGAAUAAUGGACCAGGGUCUAUUGGUGGUGCAAUGGGGUAUGGUGAUUUGCAGUCCUUGAGCUUGUCUAUGAGCCCUGGUUCUCAAUCUAGCUGUGUUACAGCUGCUGCACAGUAGCUAUCACAUGGUGGGGCUGAUUUUGUAGCCAUGAACACAAAGAAGAGAGGGGGUGGGGAGGUGGGCCAGAAGAAGCUAGUUCAUAGGAAGUCCAUUGAAACAUUUGGGCAGAGAACAUCACAGUAUGGAGGUGUUACAAGGUCAGUAGGAGCCCUCUCUCUCCUCUUGUUUAUCGUUUUUGUUUUUUGGUUAUUUUAGUUCAUAUAUGGUGGUUUGUCAUUGUAACUAUUUUUGGGGCUUUUAGUCUCUUGGAGUGGAUCAUGGCGAGCCUGGUGAAGCAUCAGGAUGUGCAGGUCAAGCUGGCGGAAGUGAUCGAUCGGGUUGUGGGGGAUGGAUGAGAAGACAUUGAAGAGGAGGAUUUGUAGCGGAUGUCAUUUCUGAAGGCAGUGAUCAUUCUAGAAAAGAGCAAGGAAUCGUUGGAUUAUAGAAGCCUGGAAAUGAAAUGUUCAAUUGAAAUUGAAAUGUGUACUAGAAAAGAAGGAAAAGAUUAUUGUGUGAAUCAUUCUAUUGUCUUUUUCUUUUAUUUGUGUAAUUAUUUGGCAUAUAAUACAAGUAGAUUACAUA